CAUGCAAGCCGAACGAACCUUCGGGUUAGUGGCGGACGGGUGAGUAACGCGUGAGAAUCUGCCCUCAGGAGGGGGAUAACAGUUGGAAACGACUGCUAAUACCCCAUAUGCCGAGAGGUGAAAUGAAUUUCGCCUGGGGAUGAGCUCGCGUCUGAUUAGCUUGUUGGUGGGGUAAUAGCCUACCAAGGCUUCGAUCAGUAGCUGGUCUGAGAGGACGAUCAGCCACACUGGGACUGAGACACGGCCCAGACUCCUACGGGAGGCAGCAGUGGGGAAUUUUCCGCAAUGGGCGAAAGCCUGACGGAGCAACGCCGCGUGAGGGAUGGAGGCCUUUGGGCUGUAAACCUCUUUUCUCAAGGAAGAAGAUCUGACGGUACUUGAGGAAUAAGCCACGGCUAAUUCCGUGCCAGCAGCCGCGGUAAUACGGGAGUGGCAAGCGUUAUCCGGAAUUAUUGGGCGUAAAGCGUCCGCAGGCGGCCGUUUAAGUCUGUUGUUAAAUCGUGGAGCUCAACUCCAUCACGGCAAUGGAAACUGUUCGGCCUGAGUAUGGUAGGGGCAGAGGGAAUUUCCGGUGUUGCGGUGAAAUGCGUAGAUAUCGGGAAGAACACCAGUGGCGAAAGCGCUCUGCUGGGCCAUUACUGACG
This 644-nucleotide ribosomal RNA is filed under the name uncultured bacterium. Its description in RNAcentral is "bacterial SSU rRNA". It matches the Rfam family "Bacterial small subunit ribosomal RNA", at positions 54 to 745 of the family's 1533-position model. The record is from RNAcentral.